This 342-nucleotide long non-coding RNA is filed under the name Homo sapiens (human). RNAcentral describes it as "HSALNT0404800". The record is from RNAcentral. Lineage: Eukaryota; Metazoa; Chordata; Mammalia; Primates; Hominidae.
CGCGAAACUGGCGCGCGCGCCUAGCUGGCGGGACCCUUAGCUCCAGGUGGACGCGGCCCGGACCCCGUGGAUAUGGAGCAGUCGCCGCCCCCGGCGCCCGAGCCGACCCAAGGGCCGACCCCCGCAAGGAGCCGAAGGCGGCGGGAGCCCGAGUCGCCGCCAGCGUCGGCGCAGUCAAAGAAGAUGGCCACGGAGACAGCAGCGUGGUCAGAGUGGUAGGAGCUGGCCAUCGGCGAGAGCUGCUCCAUGCCUGGCUGCUGGGUGCUAGAGCCUGUGGCCCACUGGCUUGCCUCACUGUGGUUGGUGGUGGUGGUGACAGAGACUGCAGCAUGACCAGAGUGG